GAGUUUGAUCGUGGCUCAGGAUGAACGCUGGCGGCGUGCCUAACACAUGCACGUCGAACGGGCGCGGCGUGCGGCAGGGGCCUCGGCCCCUGCGGCGCCGCGCGAGUGGCGGACGGGUGAGUAACGCGUGGGCAACCUGCCCUGUACUGGGGGAUAACACCUGGAAACAGGUGCUAACACCGCAUAAGCGCGCUGUGCCGCAUGGCACGGCGCGGAAAACCCCGGUGGUACAGGAUGGGCCCGCGUCUGAUUAGCUGGUUGGCAGGGUAACGGCCUACCAAGGCGACGAUCAGUAGCCGGCCUGAGAGGGUGGACGGCCACACUGGGACUGAGACACGGCCCAGACUCCUACGGGAGGCAGCAGUGGGGGAUAUUGCACAAUGGGGGGAACCCUGAUGCAGCGACGCCGCGUGGGUGAAGGAGCGUUUCGGCGCGUAAAGCCCUAUCGGCAGGGAAGACAUUGACGGUACCUGACCAAGAAGCCCGGCUAAAUACGUGCCAGCCGCCGCGGUAAG
This 515-nucleotide ribosomal RNA is filed under the name uncultured microorganism. Its description in RNAcentral is "bacterial SSU rRNA". It matches the Rfam family "Bacterial small subunit ribosomal RNA", at positions 9 to 524 of the family's 1533-position model. The record is from RNAcentral.